AGUUUCUCAUUUUGAGCCACUGUGGGCCAAAGAGGCGUCGGGGGAAGGGGAGGCAGCAGGCUCCCCGCUGCAGGCUUCCCACCCGGCCCCUGCUCCUGGCUGCGGUGACGGCCCUCCACGCCGACAUCUGCGGAAGCGCAUGGGGUCCCAGCCGCACGGCCAAAAGGCUUUGUAUAGAUCUGUGUGAAGGUCCCCACCUUGGACAGGCAAGCAGCUGAUGUUCAGGAGGCCAUGUGGAACCUGAAGUCACUCUGCAAAGCAGUGGCAGCACCUGGGAGCAGGAUCUCAGCCCUCCUGAAGCCUGGUCUGGAGCACCUGAGCGCAGCUAAUGAGAUACCAUCCAGUCCUCAGCUGAAGCAUAUUUACCCCUCAGCAGAAUGUUCAGUUCAGCUUAGAUGCUGCAGAGCUGUCUGGAAGGUGCCCGUCAAAAACAGUCUGUCAAAGAAAAAUCUCAGAAGAGUACAAUUAUCAACAAGCAAUUUUGAGGAAGGAGAUGAAGCAAGGGAGCAAGAAACUUGAAACAAAAUGUGCUAACCAUGCACGACAUAUGUCGUGAAGAAUGAAAAAAAGGACAAAAGGAGUAGUCAGAUCAAUGAGUUUCAUGCCAGAAUCAUCACAACACACCUAAACUGCAUGCAUCUCCAGCGAUUACUUUGACCUCCUUUAAUGGUUGCAGAAAACAGGAUUUUAUGAGCAAUUCAAACUACGCAUGAAGAGUCUGUUAACAAAUAUGUAGUGCCAAAUUCUUAGAUACACAGGACCACUGCAGUAAAAACAAAGGGAUUGUAUGGGUGGGAAUAGGAAUAGAUUUUGCAAGGAAUGUGGAUUCCCAAAGGAAGUGGUAACUUUCAUAAACUCUUGAAAACCCAUUUUCCAUACCCGCCACUCUCACCACCUUCUUCUUAUAAACCUGGUCGUUCAGUAAAACCUGUAGUUUUCUGGCCUGCUGUGCUGUGCUAUUAUGGCUGAACAAGUGGGGUGAAAAACAGGCAUGUGAAAUUUUCACAGCACAGCACACAUCAACACAAAGCCUUGCCUUGGUUUCAAAUUUCUUUACCAAUCCAAAACCCAGACAAGCUUCAUUGAAAGGUUUGUUAAGGUUCACGAACCGCAGGAUGAGUUUGGGGGUGUGCCAAAAAAAAGAAAGGUCUGGAAGAGCGAGCAGAAACUGGGAGCAGAUCUACUUUGGGCUCUGCCACAGGUUGGCUGCGGGUCUUGGGCAGCUCGUCCUCCUUCUCUCCCGUCUCUCAAAUGGCGCUGCUUGAGUAAUGCUGCUGAACUCCUUGUGUCUCAGGAGCAUUCAGAGGAUGAACGGCUGAGAAGCCCUUUAAAUAAGUGGAGUGUUAUACCAGUACUAGACUAGGCUAUAGAGACUUCCCAGUAGAGCCGUAGCAGCAAAGCUCCAGCAGAGACCCAGCUGGAGCAUCCUUUUCCUGGUUUGCAAGAGUCAUCCUGAGGACAAUACGUGUCAUUUUCCUGAAGACAAUUUCUUUUACUUCUAACGUACACCUUCUCAUAGAUUUUGCCACAAUACCUGUGGCCGCUGUUCCACUUCCUCUAAGGCAAAGGAAAUAACUGUAAAAUGCCAUUUACCGAGUGGGGCAUUGGAAGGAGGGAGCUUUGGGCUCAUCAGGAAGACAUACAUAGAGGGGGCAGCUCUGCUGCCACGUUCCCGGGCAGACCGGUGUGUGUACGUGCACAGGGGGAGUUCCUAUCAGUACUGCAACUGCUCUUUAUAAAUUACCAUGAAGUCGCAAACUGAGAUUAGUCUGUUAGGAAAGUUCUGAUCCUGGGUUCAGUUUUAUUAGGGUCAUUUAACUUUUUAGCAAUUGCUUUACCAAGGAUGUAAGAAAAGAUGCUGAGAAAGAAAGAAAAACAAAAGGGCAAACAUGAAAACCACAGUUAAUACUUUCAGGAAAAAAAAUGGUCCAAAUACUGAUGUUUUCUUUCAGGUAAAAUUCUGCUGCUCUGGAUCACAGCUCUACAAUUUUAUGAAAAACAGGGUGGCAUAAAAAGAGACAGUCAUCACUCCACUGACUUCAGAGAAUGCUUUGUUUUAAAGCUGAGUAAAUACACUAAUCUGUUUGCUAAUCUAUACUGUUGUUUGGAGAAAUGCAACUAUUUAAAGUUAGAAGAUUCUGUGUUAAAA
Grus americana (Whooping crane) is the source of this 2149-nucleotide long non-coding RNA. RefSeq lists it as uncharacterized. The transcript is spliced from 5 exons. The record is from RefSeq and is a predicted model, not a curated record. Lineage: Eukaryota; Metazoa; Chordata; Aves; Gruiformes; Gruidae.